GAAGGUGAUGAUUGUUUUUUUGUCGCCCCAGUCUUAGUUGCGUCAAUAGAUGCAACAUGGUGAUUGACAUGUCAUUUCUGAUUC
This 84-nucleotide small nucleolar RNA is filed under the name Ipomoea nil (Japanese morning glory). RNAcentral describes it as "Small nucleolar RNA U31b". It matches the Rfam family "Small nucleolar RNA U31b". The record is from Rfam by way of RNAcentral. Lineage: Eukaryota; Viridiplantae; Streptophyta; Magnoliopsida; Solanales; Convolvulaceae.